Molecule: ribosomal RNA, 113 nt
Filed under: Helianthus annuus (common sunflower)
Lineage: Eukaryota; Viridiplantae; Streptophyta; Magnoliopsida; Asterales; Asteraceae
Source: RNAcentral
CAACGUGUUUUGGGCUUAGUUGACUGUGGAGCACAUGAAAACUCCAUAGUUAAGUGUGCUCAGGUGGGAGUAGUACUAGGAUGGGUGACCUCCUGAGAAGUCUCCACCGGGGC